ACGACGCUGGCGGCGUGCCUCAUACAUGCAAGUCGAGCGAGAAAGCCCGCUUCGGUGGGUGAGUACAGCGGCGAACGGGUGAGUAACACGUGAGGAAUCUGCCCCUCGGCGGGGGAUAAGCCUUCGAAAGGAGGUCUAAUACCGCAUAACAUUCCGGGAUGGCAUCUUCCCGGAAUCAAAGAUGGCCUCUGCUUGCAAGCUAUCACCGAGGGAUGAUCUCGCGCUCCAUUAGCCUGUUGGUGGGGUAACGGCCUACCAAAGCUACGAUGGAUAGCCGGCCUGAGAGGGUGAACGGCCACACUGGGACUGAGAUACGGCCCAGACUCCUACGGGAGGCAGCAGUAGGGAAUAUUGCGCAAUGGACGAAAGUCUGACGCAGCAACGCCGCGUGUGGGAUGAAGCUUCUUGGAGCGUAAACCACUGUCAGAGGGGACGAACGGCCACGACUCCAACAUAGUCGAGGUUUGACGGUACCCUCAGAGGAAGCUCCGGCUAACUCCGUGCCAGCAGCCGCGGUAAUACAAGCCGAAUUCCAGGCAAACUA
This 544-nucleotide ribosomal RNA is filed under the name uncultured bacterium. Its description in RNAcentral is "bacterial SSU rRNA". It matches the Rfam family "Bacterial small subunit ribosomal RNA", at positions 36 to 538 of the family's 1533-position model. The record is from RNAcentral.